RNAcentral lists this transfer RNA (94 nucleotides) under Caldifarciminota bacterium. RNAcentral describes it as "tRNA-Sec". It matches the Rfam family "Selenocysteine transfer RNA". The record is from RNAcentral. Lineage: Bacteria; Pseudomonadati; Caldifarciminota.
GGAGGCGGAUGGGUGCUGGUGUGCCUGGCGGACUUCAAAUCCGUAUGGUCUGCGAAAGUGGACCGGUAGGUUCGAUUCCUACACGCCUCCGCCA